Molecule: ribosomal RNA, 484 nt
Filed under: uncultured bacterium
Lineage: Bacteria
Description: partial 16S ribosomal RNA
Rfam family: Bacterial small subunit ribosomal RNA
Source: RNAcentral
AUUGAACGCUGGCGGCAGGCCUAACACAUGCAAGUCGAGCGGCAGAACGGCGCUUGCUCCUGCAGCCAGCGGCGAACGGGUGAGUAAUGCAUCGGAACAUGCCCAGUCGUGGGGGAUAACACCUGGAAAGAGGGGCUAAUACCGCAUACGUCCUGAGGGGGAAAGCGGGGGAUCUCAAGACCUCACGCGAUUGGAGUGGCCGAGGUCGGAUUAGCUAGUGUGUGGGGUAAAGGCCUACCAAGGCGACGAUCCGUAACUGGUCUGAGAGGAUGAUCAGCCACACUGGAACUGAGACACGGUCCAGACUCCUACGGGAGGCAGCAGUGGGGAAUAUUGGACAAUGGGCGAAAGCCUGAUCCAGCCAUGCCGCGUGUGUGAAGAAGGUCUUCGGAUUGUAAAGCACUUUAAGUUGGGAGGAAGGGCAGUAAGUUAAUACCUUGCUGUUUUGACGUUACCAACAGAAUAAGCACCGGCUAACUUCGUG